UACGAAGGGUGCAAGCGUUACUCGGAAUUACUGGGCGUAAAGCGUGCGUAGGCGGUUUGUUAAGUCUGAUGUGAAAUCCCCGGGCUCAACCUGGGACCUGCAUUGGAAACUGGCGAGCUAGAGUACGGUAGAGGGUGGUGGAAUUCCCGGUGUAGCAGUGAAAUGCGUAGAUAUGCGGAGGAACACCGAUGGCGAAGGCAAUCCCCUGGGCCUGCACUGACGCUCAUGCACGAAAGCGUGGGAGCAAACAGG
RNAcentral lists this ribosomal RNA (252 nucleotides) under uncultured bacterium. RNAcentral describes it as "partial 16S ribosomal RNA". It matches the Rfam family "Bacterial small subunit ribosomal RNA", at positions 524 to 776 of the family's 1533-position model. The record is from RNAcentral.